CUCUAUGGCCAUACCACCCUAAAUGUACCAGAUCUUAGCUGAUCUUGGAAGCUAAGCAAGGUCAGGCCUGGUUAGUACUUGGAUGGGAGAUUUCAGGUUUUCUCUUGAUA
Molecule: ribosomal RNA, 110 nt
Filed under: Microcebus murinus (gray mouse lemur)
Lineage: Eukaryota; Metazoa; Chordata; Mammalia; Primates; Cheirogaleidae
Source: RNAcentral